AAGUCGUAACAAGGUUUCCGUAGGUGAACCUGCUAACACGUAUCCAACGUUAAACGAACCUUCAGAAGUCCGUUCUCGUAACACCAGUGCGCCUCAGCAAUCCCGGUAAAUCAUUGUCGCCCAAAAAAACGAACAACUGUUAACAAUGGAUAUCUUGGUUCUC
RNAcentral lists this unclassified non-coding RNA (163 nucleotides) under fungal sp. Its description in RNAcentral is "partial internal transcribed spacer region". The record is from RNAcentral. Lineage: Eukaryota; Fungi.